GAGAUAUUCUAUAACAAGGCUUCUUUUUACCACCCCAAAUAAUAUAUUUAUUAAUUAAUAUACCAAUAUUAUUUAUUACACUUUUAAGAUUGACUAAGUUGUUUUAUGUUAUUUAAUAUUAGAUCGUGUUUGUGGAAUUAGACAGAAGAGAACUUACUAUAAAACUGAAAGAAACAAUCUUUUGAUCACUUACAAGUCUUUCCCAAAUUAUAAAACUGAAGAGUUCUCUCUAGUGUACAGAGUUGUUUGCAACGGAACCAUUGAAGGAGAUUACGGCAGAUUGCAAAAUCCGAACUACGACCAUCCUUAUCCAUACGAUUCCAUAUGUCAAUGGGUGCUGGCUGUUCCCAUAGGCCAAGUCGUUUUAAGUUUUGAAACAUUUUACAUUAAUGACGACGAAGAUUGCCAGUCUGACUACAUCGAAGUUAUUGAUGGUGACAUCGAUUCCGGUAAAGUAAUCUUGGAUAAAGUCUGUGGUAAUAAAGUGCCCGAUGUUAUCGUAUCUACCAACAACAAGCUAACUGUCACUUACGUAUCGAAAAACAAAAAUAAGAAAAAUAAAUUUUCAGCCAAUUUUAUAGA
Long non-coding RNA from Centruroides sculpturatus (bark scorpion), 582 nucleotides. RefSeq lists it as uncharacterized. NCBI's taxonomy places the organism in Eukaryota, Metazoa, Arthropoda, Arachnida, Scorpiones, Buthidae. The transcript is spliced from 3 exons. The record is from RefSeq and is a predicted model, not a curated record.